Molecule: ribosomal RNA, 1261 nt
Filed under: Flavobacterium sp.
Lineage: Bacteria; Pseudomonadati; Bacteroidota; Flavobacteriia; Flavobacteriales; Flavobacteriaceae
Description: bacterial SSU rRNA
Rfam family: Bacterial small subunit ribosomal RNA
Source: RNAcentral
GCACAUGCGGCGGCUUACACAUGCAAGUCGAGGGGUAUAUGUUCUUCGGAACUAGAGACCGGCGCACGGGUGCGUAACGCGUAUGCAAUCUACCUUUCACAGAGGGAUAGCCCAGAGAAAUUUGGAUUAAUACCUCAUAGUAUUAUAGAAUGGCAUCAUUUUAUAAUUAAAGUCACAACGGUGAAAGAUGAGCAUGCGUCCCAUUAGUUAGUUGGUAAGGUAACGGCUUACCAAGACUACGAUGGGUAGGGGUCCUGAGAGGGAGAUCCCCCACACUGGUACUGAGACACGGACCAGACUCCUACGGGAGGCAGCAGUGAGGAAUAUUGGUCAAUGGGCGCAAGCCUGAACCAGCCAUGCCGCGUGCAGGAUGAAGCAUCUAUGGUGUGUAAACUGCUUUUAUACGAGAAGAAACAACUCUACGUGUAGAGUCUUGACGGUAUCGUAAGAAUAAGGACCGGCUAACUCCGUGCCAGCAGCCGCGGUAAUACGGAGGGUCCAAGCGUUAUCCGGAAUCAUUGGGUUUAAAGGGUCCGUAGGCGGUCAGAUAAGUCAGUGGUGAAAGCCCAUCGCUCAACGGUGGAACGGCCAUUGAUACUGUCUGACUUGAAUUAUUAGGAAGUAACUAGAAUAUGUAGUGUAGCGGUGAAAUGCUUAGAGAUUACAUGGAAUACCAAUUGCGAAGGCAGGUUACUACUAAUUUGAUUGACGCUGAUGGACGAAAGCGUGGGUAGCGAACAGGAUUAGAUACCCUGGUAGUCCACGCCGUAAACGAUGGAUACUAGCUGUUGGGAGCAAUCUCAGUGGCUAAGCGAAAGUGAUAAGUAUCCCACCUGGGGAGUACGAACGCAAGUUUGAGACUCAAAGGAAUUGACGGGGGCGCGCACAAGCGGUGGAGCAUGUGGUGUAAUUCAUGAUACGCGAGGAGCCUUACCAAGGCUUAAAUGGUAGAUUGGACGGGUGUGGAAGCAGACUUUUCGCAGACAUUUACACGUGCUGCAUGGGUGGUCGUCAGCUCGUGCCGUGAGUUGUCAGAUGAGGUCUAUAACAACGCAACCCCUCGUUGUUAGUUGCAGCGAGUCAGUGUCGGUAACUCUACCAAACUGCCAAUGUAACUUGUAGAAGUGGGAUGACGUCAAAUCGAUCACGUCCUACGCUGGGCUACACACCUCUCAUGAACGUACAAAGCAGCACGUGGCACAGUCAUUACAACCAGGUCGAUCGAAUCGACUUGCACUUCGAGUCGCAAUGAAACUUGUGA